RNAcentral lists this ribosomal RNA (436 nucleotides) under uncultured bacterium. Its description in RNAcentral is "bacterial SSU rRNA". It matches the Rfam family "Bacterial small subunit ribosomal RNA", at positions 954 to 1392 of the family's 1533-position model. The record is from RNAcentral.
AUGGGAACGCGAAGAACCUUACCUAGACUUGACAUCUCCUGAAUAGUGUAGAGAUACAUGAAGCCCUUCGGGGCAGGAAGACAGGUGGUGCAUGGUUGUCGUCAGCUCGUGUCGUGAGAUGUUGGGUUAAGUCCCGCAACGAGCGCAACCCUUAUUACUAGUUGCUACCAUUAAGUUGAGCACUCUAGUGAGACUGCCCAGGUUAACCGGGAGGAAGGCGGGGAUGACGUCAAAUCAUCAUGCCCCUUAUGUCUAGGGCAACACACGUGCUACAAUGGUGAGUACAGAUAGAUGCGAUACCGCAAGGUGGAGCCAAACUCUAAAACUCAUCCCAGUUCGGAUUGUAGGCUGCAACUCGCCUACAUGAAGUUGGAGUUGCUAGUAAUCGCGAAUCAGAAUGCUACGGUGAAUACGUUCCCGGGUCUUGUACACACCG